Molecule: ribosomal RNA, 284 nt
Filed under: uncultured bacterium
Lineage: Bacteria
Description: partial 16S ribosomal RNA
Rfam family: Bacterial small subunit ribosomal RNA
Source: RNAcentral
CGAGGCCUACGGGAGGCAGCAGUGAGGAAUAUUGGUCAAUGGGCGGGAGCCUGAACCAGCCAAGUCGCGUGAGGGAAGACGGUCCUAUGGAUUGUAAACCUCUUUAGGCGGGGAGCAAUGCCGGGCACGCGUGCCCGGAGGGGGAGUACCCGCAGAAUAAGCAUCGGCUAACUCCGUGCCAGCAGCCGCGGUAAUACGGAGGAUGCGAGCGUUAUCCGGAUUUAUUGGGUUUCAAGGGUGCGUAGGCGGAUUUUUAAGUCAGCGGUACAAUGUCCGGGCUCAAC